RNAcentral lists this long non-coding RNA (422 nucleotides) under Pandoravirus quercus. RNAcentral describes it as "hypothetical ncRNA". The record is from RNAcentral.
UCUAGUGCAGAUGUCUGUGCAUGGCCAGUACACCGACCGCCGCGCCCGCAUCGUCGAAAGGGUCCGCGACUUGACUGCCACGCGCUCGCGCCAAGAGGAGCAAGCCGCUCUCUUUUACGAGCGGGGGGGGGGGACAAGUCGGAGCGACCGGGCACGCAUCCUACACUGAUGAUACAGUGGUGUCGGCAAUCGACGAGGACACACCCAUGGACGAGGCGGUGGACGAGGACGGCCGUGGCAUGAGUCACGAUGCCCUGAUGCAAUUUCGCCAAGGGACGAGGUUGUGGCGUCUGAGCGACUGCAGGACCCUCGCCGAAGAGGGGCACUCUUUCCAUUGGCCGUGAAAUAAAUCACAUGCAAAGGACGUCCCAUUGCCGACGCCAUCAAUGUUUUUUGUUGAGAAAACAUAUAUGGACCCCAUU